Aethina tumida (small hive beetle) is the source of this 732-nucleotide long non-coding RNA. RefSeq lists it as uncharacterized. NCBI's taxonomy places the organism in Eukaryota, Metazoa, Arthropoda, Insecta, Coleoptera, Nitidulidae. The record is from RefSeq and is a predicted model, not a curated record. The transcript has 2 exons.
GCGGUUUCAAGUCAAAAAUCCCCUAGCAAUUUAUAAUUCCCCAUCGUGGGGCAGAGGCUUGUUCUCUGCCCCCAGGAUAUGACUGUGUCGCGGCCCCUCGUUCAACCAUCAAGAUGAAUCGACGAACGGCGGUGUCAUCGCGAUAAACCCACUCAUUGUCGUUGUCUAAUUAUACAUUUCGACAAAUUUAAAUCUAUUUAGACAGACUGUUGGCGUGGAAAAUGAUUAAUGCUGUGCUCCUAGCCAUUUCAAACGAACAAGAGGACAAAUUCGAAGUGGAUAAAACAGUUACUCAGGAAACACUUCUACCGUAUUUUCAACAACGCCUUUCUCCAAAAUAAAAACCCCAAUUAGAUUUAGGGCGGGUACUUGUAGUGUAGAGAGUUCCACUGGCUCUAAUUCACAAUUAUAUUAAAGUGUGACGAGCGAGGCAGCCGAAAUUAGUGUGUCCGGAUGCAGUGCACCGAAAUCCGGCUGAAAGGGCCGGGCGGCGUGGGAGGCAGCAGGCUAAAGAAGAAGAAGGAACAGUGUCACCGGAAUCCAAAGAGGGACGUGUCCCGACUUUUAAUUAGAUGCGCUCCCCAAUCGAUACACAACAGCGACGUAACCACGUGUACACACAACAGAGACAAUAAAGCUCUGUUCGUUCCGAGGAUGAUUCAGUCUAAAACUUAUGAUUGGAAAAUAUUUUUUACUUAUUGUACAAAAAUAAAUUGGAAUUAUUUUAGUAUA